This 85-nucleotide microRNA precursor is filed under the name Bombyx mori (domestic silkworm). RNAcentral's name for it is "mir-2807 microRNA precursor family". It matches the Rfam family "mir-2807 microRNA precursor family". Lineage: Eukaryota; Metazoa; Arthropoda; Insecta; Lepidoptera; Bombycidae. The record is from Rfam by way of RNAcentral.
AGGAGGAAAAUUUGUGUGGAGUUGGAACAGCUUUGCUUCGUUUCUCGCUAGGGGCGCUGUUUUAACUCCACUCAAAUUUGAGUUA